RNAcentral lists this transfer RNA (73 nucleotides) under Candidatus Zhuqueibacterota bacterium RBG_16_48_16. RNAcentral's name for it is "candidate division KSB1 bacterium RBG_16_48_16 tRNA-Thr". It matches the Rfam family "tRNA". From Rfam's summary of the family: Transfer RNA (tRNA) molecules are approximately 80 nucleotides in length. Their secondary structure includes four short double-helical elements and three loops (D, anti-codon, and T loops). The record is from RNAcentral. Lineage: Bacteria; Pseudomonadati.
GCCCAAGUAGCUCAGUUGGUAGAGCGCAUCCUUGGUAAGGAUGAGGUCACCGGUUCAAUCCCGGUCUUGGGCU